GCAGGGAUAUCGAAGUGGCCAUAACGAGGCGGUCUUGAAAACCGUUUGGGGGCAACCCCGCGUGGGUUCGAAUCCCACUCCCUGCGCCA
This 89-nucleotide transfer RNA is filed under the name Oscillospiraceae bacterium. RNAcentral's name for it is "tRNA-Ser". It matches the Rfam family "tRNA". Rfam says of the family: Transfer RNA (tRNA) molecules are approximately 80 nucleotides in length. Their secondary structure includes four short double-helical elements and three loops (D, anti-codon, and T loops). Further hydrogen bonds mediate the characteristic L-shaped molecular structure. tRNAs have two regions of fundamental functional importance: the anti-codon, which is responsible for specific mRNA codon recognition, and the 3' end, to which the tRNAs corresponding amino acid is attached (by aminoacyl-tRNA synthetases). tRNAs cope with the degeneracy of the genetic code in two manners: having more than one tRNA (with a specific anti-codon) for a particular amino acid; and 'wobble' base-pairing, i.e. permitting non-standard base-pairing at the 3rd anti-codon position. The record is from RNAcentral. Lineage: Bacteria; Bacillati; Bacillota; Clostridia; Eubacteriales; Oscillospiraceae.